GUUUUUAUAAUUUAAAUUAAAAUGUAAGUUUUGUAAACUUAAUUUAGGAAUACCUUAAAAACA
RNAcentral lists this transfer RNA (63 nucleotides) under Cicadella viridis. RNAcentral describes it as "tRNA-Thr". Lineage: Eukaryota; Metazoa; Arthropoda; Insecta; Hemiptera; Cicadellidae. The record is from RNAcentral.